AUGUGGCUGCUGACGGCGGGAGGAAGCGGCUGGGUGAGCUGUUCUGCGCGGGCCCUGCGCGGGCACUGCUCCUCCAGCCGCGGGGAGGACCGGUCCUCCACCGCACCUGCACCUCGGGGGGCUGCGGGGGCUCUCCAGCCCCUCAGGGAACAGGGGCAGCUGUUUUUCCCAGCAACUCCUGCUUCAGCGUGGCCUUGUCACCGUGCCACGGCCCCKCCUCUGCUCCAGGCCCCUCUUUCCGCGCUUGCUGCCCGGGAUCUGGCACGGCCGCGGCUCCCGGAGCAGCUCCGGCUGCAGGUGCCACAGCGCAGCACCGCGCCUGGAGGACGGGAACCCCUGGACCUCCCUGGGGGUUGGGGCACCCCGCUUAGCAGCACCCACCCUCCACCCAGCCGCGCGCCCCGUCGCACCACGUCCCUGCAGGACGCCAGCGCCGAGACCGCGGUGGCACCGCCACGAYGUCGGCGCUGGGGGGGCCGGGGCGAGCUGGGGCCACCGACCCCCCAGAGCCAGGCGGCAGCUCUGCUGGGCUCGGGGCAGCCCUCACCCCCGCCUUAUCCGCACUCACACCAGCGCCUCAGCGCCCUGCGGACACCCAGCAAAGCCCUGGCCAGUGCGACCAAGAGGGCAGAAGGGGGUGGCACCAUCCGCCCCGCCCCGCGCCGCCUCUCCCGCCCGCCCGGCCGCAGCAGCCCCGGGCACCGCCGCCUUCCCCGCCUCCCCGGGCGGCUGCAGAGCUUCCUCCCUUCAGCUCCUCCUCCUCCUCCUCCUCCUCCCCCCUCCAGGCGCGCUGAAGAAACGAAAGCGAGAGCAGCCAGUGCGAGGGUGACGAGCGGCGCAGGCCCCGCCACCCGCAGCCGCAUGCCCGCCACCCCCGAGGCCUCGCUGCCAGCCCCCGCGGCUGCCGGCGCCCCCGGCCCGCCCCCCCCGGCAGGUAACGUGGGCGACGGACGGGGCGGGAGGGCGCAGCGCGGCCGCAGGGGGGGGCAAAGCCCUUGCAUGGGG
This 1005-nucleotide long non-coding RNA is filed under the name Dromaius novaehollandiae (emu). RNAcentral's name for it is "lncRNA (ENSDNVG00000018114.1)". Lineage: Eukaryota; Metazoa; Chordata; Aves; Casuariiformes; Dromaiidae. The record is from RNAcentral.